Molecule: long non-coding RNA, 110 nt
Organism: Etheostoma spectabile (orangethroat darter)
Lineage: Eukaryota; Metazoa; Chordata; Actinopteri; Perciformes; Percidae
Exons: 2
Source: RefSeq, a predicted model, not a curated record
UGGAGGAGGAGUGGAUUACCAAAGAGAGUCAAAUGGAGAAUGAAAUCAAGAUCCUGAAAGAGCAAAACUCUAAGCUUCAGGUCAGUCUCCUUAGCAUGCAGGAGAUGGCU